This 428-nucleotide ribosomal RNA is filed under the name uncultured bacterium. RNAcentral's name for it is "bacterial SSU rRNA". It matches the Rfam family "Bacterial small subunit ribosomal RNA", at positions 917 to 1344 of the family's 1533-position model. The record is from RNAcentral.
GGGCCCGCACAAGCGGUGGAGCAUGUGGUUUAAUUUGAUGCAACGCGAAGAACCUUACCAGGGUUUGACAUGACAUAAAUCUUUCAGAGAUGAUUGAGUGCCCUUCGGGGAAUAUGUACACUGGUGGUGCAUGGCUGUCGUCAGCUCGUGUCGUGAGAUGUUGGGUUAAGUCCCGCAACGAGCGCAACCCACGUCUUUAGUUGCCAGCAUUUAGUUGGGCACUCUAGAGAGACUGCCGGUGAUAAACCGGAGGAAGGUGUGGAUGACGUCAAGUCAUCAUGCCCCUUACAUCCUGGGCUACACACGUACUACAAUGGUUAGGACAAAGAGUCGCAAGUUUGCAAAAACAAGCUAAUCUCGUAAACCUAGCCUAAGUUCAGAUUGUAGGCUGCAACUCGCCUACAUGAAGUUGGAAUCGCUAGUAAUCG